Molecule: transfer RNA, 69 nt
Filed under: Pseudoflavonifractor phocaeensis
Lineage: Bacteria; Bacillati; Bacillota; Clostridia; Eubacteriales; Oscillospiraceae
Description: tRNA-Phe
Rfam family: tRNA
About the family: Transfer RNA (tRNA) molecules are approximately 80 nucleotides in length. Their secondary structure includes four short double-helical elements and three loops (D, anti-codon, and T loops). Further hydrogen bonds mediate the characteristic L-shaped molecular structure. tRNAs have two regions of fundamental functional importance: the anti-codon, which is responsible for specific mRNA codon recognition, and the 3' end, to which the tRNAs corresponding amino acid is attached (by aminoacyl-tRNA synthetases). tRNAs cope with the degeneracy of the genetic code in two manners: having more than one tRNA (with a specific anti-codon) for a particular amino acid; and 'wobble' base-pairing, i.e. permitting non-standard base-pairing at the 3rd anti-codon position.
Source: RNAcentral
GGGACCAUAGCUCAGUUGGAAGAGCGCCCACGAAAGUGGGAUGGGCAGGUUCGAGUCCUGCGGGUCCCA